AACUUUGUGCAGUGGCAGUAUCAUAGCCAAUAAGGUUUAUCCGAGGCACAAUUAUUGCUAAUUGAAAAUGUUUCCCAAUACCCUGCCAUGACAACUUGAAGUAUAGUCGGCAGUGGCAAUUUUUGAUAUUCUCUGCAGAGA
Small nuclear RNA from Saimiri boliviensis boliviensis (Bolivian squirrel monkey), 141 nucleotides. Its record names the gene U4. It matches the Rfam family "U4 spliceosomal RNA". From Rfam's summary of the family: U4 small nuclear RNA (U4 snRNA) is a component of the major U2-dependent spliceosome. The structure of U4 snRNA from yeast and human has been reported. NCBI's taxonomy places the organism in Eukaryota, Metazoa, Chordata, Mammalia, Primates, Cebidae. The record is from Ensembl.